RNAcentral lists this ribosomal RNA (423 nucleotides) under uncultured bacterium. Its description in RNAcentral is "partial 16S ribosomal RNA". It matches the Rfam family "Bacterial small subunit ribosomal RNA", at positions 360 to 775 of the family's 1533-position model. The record is from RNAcentral.
AAUCUUCCACAAUGGACGGAAGUCUGAUGGAGCAACGCCGCGUGAGCGACGAAGGUUUUCGUAUCGUAAAUCUCUGUCGUAAGGGAAGAACACGUACGGGAGUCACUGCCCGUACCUUGACGGUACCUUAUCAGAAUGCCACGGCUAACUACUUGCCAGCAGCCGCGGUAAUACGUAGGUGGCAAGCGUUGUCCGGAAUUAUUGGGCGUAAAGCGCGCGCAGGCGGUCCUUUAAGUCUGAUGUGAAAGCCCACGGCUCAACCGUGGAGGGUCAUUGGAAACUGGAGGACUUGAGUACAGAAGAGGAAAGCGGAAUUCCACGUGUAGCGGUGAAAUGCGUAGAGGUGUGGAGGAACACCAGUGGCGAAGGCGGCUUUCUGGUCUGUAACUGACGCUGAGGCGCGAAAGCGUGGGGAGCAAACAG